This 497-nucleotide ribosomal RNA is filed under the name uncultured bacterium. RNAcentral's name for it is "partial 16S ribosomal RNA". It matches the Rfam family "Bacterial small subunit ribosomal RNA", at positions 28 to 507 of the family's 1533-position model. The record is from RNAcentral.
GAUGAACGCUGGCGGCGUGCCUAAUACAUGCGAGUCGAGCGAACGGACGAGAAGCUUGCUUCUCUGAUGUUAGCGGCGGACGGGUGAGUAACACGUGGAUAACCUACCUAUAAGACUGGGAUAACUUCGGGAAACCGUAGCUAAUACCGGAUAAUAUUUUGAACCGCAUGGUUCAAAAGUGAAAGACGGUUUUGCUGUCACUUAUAGAUGGAUCCGCGCUGCAUUAGCUAGUUGGUAAGGUAACGGCUUACCAAGGCAACGAUGCAUAGCCGACCUGAGAGGGUGAUCGGCCACACUGGAACUGAGACACGGUCCAGACUCCUACGGGAGGCAGCAGUAGGGAAUCUUCCGCAAUGGGCGAAAGCCUGACGGAGCAACGCCGCGUGAGUGAUGAAGGUCUUCGGAUCGUAAAACUCUGUUAUUAGGGAAGAACAUAUGUGUAAGUAACUGUGCACAUCUUGACGGUACCUAAUCAGAAAGCCACGGCUAACUACGUG